RNAcentral lists this ribosomal RNA (384 nucleotides) under uncultured bacterium. Its description in RNAcentral is "bacterial SSU rRNA". It matches the Rfam family "Bacterial small subunit ribosomal RNA", at positions 28 to 412 of the family's 1533-position model. The record is from RNAcentral.
GACGAACGCUGGCGGCGUGCUUAACACAUGCAAGUCGAGCGGUAAGGCCCUUUCGGGGGUACACGAGCGGCGAACGGGUGAGUAACACGUGGGUGACCUGCCCUCAGCUCUGGGAUAAGCCUGGGAAACUGGGUCUAAUACUGGAUAUGACUCCACGGUGCAUGUCGUGGGGUGGAAAGCCUUGUGCGGCUGAGGAUGGGGCCCGCGGCCUAUCAGCUUGUUGGUGGGGUGAUGGCCUACCAAGGCGACGACGGGUAGCCGGCCUGAGAGGGCGACCGGCCACACUGGGACUGAGACACGGCCCAGACUCCUACGGGAGGCAGCAGUGGGGAAUCUUGCGCAAUGGGCGAAAGCCUGACGCAGCGACGCCGCGUGAGGGAUGAC